RNAcentral lists this ribosomal RNA (325 nucleotides) under uncultured Bacillota bacterium. RNAcentral's name for it is "bacterial SSU rRNA". It matches the Rfam family "Bacterial small subunit ribosomal RNA", at positions 28 to 351 of the family's 1533-position model. Lineage: Bacteria; Bacillati; Bacillota. The record is from RNAcentral.
GACGAACGCUGGCGGCGUGCCUAACACAUGCAAGUCGAACGGAGAUACGAUUUCGGUUGUAUCUUAGUGGCGAACGGGUGAGUAACGCGUGAGCAACCUGACUCUUAGAGGGGGAUAACACUCGGAAACGGGUGCUAAUACCGCAUAAGACCACGACAUGGCAUCAUGACGAGGUCAAAGGAGCAAUCCGCUGAGAGAGGGGCUCGCGUCCCAUUAGAUAGAUGGCGGGGUAAUGGCCCACCAAGGCUCUGAUGGGUAGCCGAGCUGAGAGGCUGAUCGGCCACACUGGAACUGAAACACGGUCCAGGACUCCUACGGGUGGCAG